AGCUUCAGUAGCGUAUAUUAAAGUUGUUGCAGUUAAAAAGCUCGUAGUCGCAUUUCUGGCGAGAGGAUCCGGUCCGACCUUUUGGUGGGUUCUUGGGUCUCUUUCGCCAUCCUUGAGUGGUCCGUUCUGGCAUUAGGUUGUCGGAGCGUCAGCCGCUCAUCGUUUACUGUGAGAAAAUUAGAGUGUUCAAAGCAGGCUUAUGCCGUUGAAUAUAUUAGCAUGGAAUAAUAAGAUAGGACCUCGGUACUAUUUUGUUGGUUUGCGCACCAAGGUAAUGAUGAACAGGGACAGUUGGGGGUAUUUGUAUUUCGUUGUCAGAGGUGAAAUUCUUAGAUUUACGAAAGACAAACUACUGCGAAAGCAUUUGCCAAGAAUGUCUUCA
RNAcentral lists this ribosomal RNA (382 nucleotides) under uncultured marine Chaetocerotaceae. RNAcentral describes it as "SSU rRNA". It matches the Rfam family "Eukaryotic small subunit ribosomal RNA", at positions 587 to 972 of the family's 1831-position model. Lineage: Eukaryota; Bacillariophyta; Thalassiosirophyceae; Chaetocerotales; Chaetocerotaceae. The record is from RNAcentral.